UAAACACCUUUACGCGGUUUUGCUUUACGUGUGGCCGGUGUUUGGAGUUUUCAAAGGACGCGGAUCAGACGGAGACACUUGAAGGCAACAUCUCGACAGCCGGACAGUGUUAAGCAAACCAAACAUCCAUGCCCAUCAUACAAACAGUUCAUGGAGUACAGAAGCUCGAAGUCAAAAGAGCGACAGUCUUUUAACUACAGACCAAAACAAAGAAAUAGGCCUAAAGAAAGAAAACACGUCCAGAAAAAGGUAGGAUUGAUGGUGCCACAUGGAACUGAUGGAAUUGAUUUAAAAAACCUCUAAGACGGAAAACGCUCCCGUUAUUUACAGACUCAGAAGUAGCAGCACCUGAUCUUCUGAAACAAGCUGUGUAGAAAAUUAGAAAAUUUAACAUGGACAUGCAGGAAAGAACCUCAUGUCCUUUUGUAUCCAGACUGCUCAGAGGUGAUCCAUGUGCCUGGGUUAGAAAUGCCAUUCAAAUUGGCAGAAUAUAAAAAGGAAAUAGGAAAGGCAUAUUCCAGGAUCACUUUUUUCAUUUGCCUGGAGAAACACUAUUAAGGAGGUUAGUGGAUCUCAUGAUUCAAUAUUUUUUACAUAUUUAGAUACUCUGCUGGAGAACAGAUAAUG
This is a long non-coding RNA of Etheostoma cragini (Arkansas darter), 627 nucleotides long. RefSeq lists it as uncharacterized. The record is from RefSeq and is a predicted model, not a curated record. The transcript is spliced from 3 exons. Lineage: Eukaryota; Metazoa; Chordata; Actinopteri; Perciformes; Percidae.